Ribosomal RNA from Oncorhynchus tshawytscha (Chinook salmon), 119 nucleotides. Lineage: Eukaryota; Metazoa; Chordata; Actinopteri; Salmoniformes; Salmonidae. The record is from Ensembl.
GCGUACAGCCAUACCAGCCUGAAUACGCCCGAUCUCGUCUGAUCUCGGAAGUUAAGCAGGAUUGGGCCUGGUGAGUACUUGGAUGGGAGGCUGCCUGGGAAUACCAGGUGCUGCAAACU